GACGAACGCUGGCGGCGUGCUUAAAACAUGCAAGUCGAACGAGCACUUCGGUGCGAGUGGCAAACGGCUGAGUAACGCGUGGGUGACCUGCCUCGAAGUGGGGAAUAACUGCCCGAAGGUGGCUAAUACCGCAUGUGAUGGAUGAUCCAUUUCAUUCAUUAAAGCCGCAAGGCGCUUGGAGAGGGGCCCGCGUCCGAUUAGCUAGUUGGUGGGGUAAAGGCCGUACCAAGGCGUCGAUCGGUAGCUGGUCUAAGAGGAUGAUCAGCCAGACUGGGACUGGCGACACGGCCCAGACUCCUACGGGAGGCAGCAGUUAGGAA
RNAcentral lists this ribosomal RNA (320 nucleotides) under uncultured bacterium. RNAcentral describes it as "bacterial SSU rRNA". It matches the Rfam family "Bacterial small subunit ribosomal RNA", at positions 28 to 361 of the family's 1533-position model. The record is from RNAcentral.